GGGACCGCACAAGCGGUGGAUGAUGUGGUUUAAUUCGAUGCAACGCGAAAACCUUACCCACCUUUGACAUGUACGGAAUCCUUUAGAGAUAGAGGAGUGCUCGAAAGAGAACCGUAACACAGGUGCUGCAUGGCUGUCGUCAGCUCGUGUCGUGAGAUGUUGGGUUAAGUCCCGCAACGAGCGCAACCCUUGUCAUUAGUUGCUACAUUCAGUUGGGCACUCUAAUGAGACUGCCGGUGACAAACCGGAGGAAGGUGGGGAUGACGUCAAGUCCUCAUGGCCCUUAUAGGUGGGGCUACACACGUCAUACAAUGGAUGGUACAAAGGGUCGCCAACCCGCGAGGGGGAGCCAAUCCCAUAAAGCCAUUCGUAGUCCGGAUCGCAGUCUGCAACUCGACUGCGUGAAGUCGGAAUCGCUAGUAAUCGUGGAUCAGAAUGUCACGGUGAAUACGUUCCCGGGUCUU
This 464-nucleotide ribosomal RNA is filed under the name uncultured Acidovorax sp. Its description in RNAcentral is "bacterial SSU rRNA". It matches the Rfam family "Bacterial small subunit ribosomal RNA", at positions 917 to 1382 of the family's 1533-position model. Lineage: Bacteria; Pseudomonadati; Pseudomonadota; Betaproteobacteria; Burkholderiales; Comamonadaceae. The record is from RNAcentral.